UGAUAGAAAUUUAAACACUUUUUAAAGUAUCAAUUGGAGGGCAAGUCUGGUGCCAGCAGCCGCGGUAAUUCCAGCUCCGAUAGCGUAUAUUAAAAUUGUUGCAGUUAAAAAGCUCGUAGUUGAAUUUCUGUUAAAAAUAACCGGUCUGCUUUUAUUAAAAGUGGUAUCUUGGUGUGUUUUAGCAAUAAUGUCCUUUGAAAUGUUUUUUACUUUAUUGUAAUAAGUCAUUAUUUUGAGGAUUUUUACUUUGAGAAAAUUAGAGUGUUUCUAGCAGGCUUACGCUUUUGAAUACUGCAGCAUGGAAUAAUAAGAUAGGAUUUUAGUUCUACAUUAUUGGUUUUAAGAACUAAAUUAAUGAUUGAUAGGGAUAGUUGGGGGCAUUUGUAUUUAACUGUCAGAGGUGAAAUUCUUAGAUUUGUUAAAGACAAACUACUGCGAAAGCAUUUGCCAAAGAUGUUUUCAUUAAUCAAGAACGAAAGUUAGGGGAUCGAAG
RNAcentral lists this ribosomal RNA (493 nucleotides) under Hepatozoon sp. LAS-2012. RNAcentral describes it as "bacterial SSU rRNA". It matches the Rfam family "Eukaryotic small subunit ribosomal RNA", at positions 515 to 1003 of the family's 1831-position model. The record is from RNAcentral. Lineage: Eukaryota; Apicomplexa; Hepatozoidae.